GUGCUUAACACAUACAAGUCGCGUGCGCAGUUUCCGUAGCAAUACGGGGAUGGGCGCACGGCGCACGGGUGCGUAACACGUGGGCAAUCUGCCCUCCGAUGGGGAAUACCCCCGCGAAAGCGGGACUAAUUCCGCAUAACAUUCCUUGGAUUAACUUCUGAGGAUUCAAAGCAGCAAUGCGUCGGAGGAGGAGCCCGCGCCCGAUUAGCUAGUUGGUGAGGUAACGGCUCACCAAGGCAAUGAUCGGUAGCUGGUCUGAGAGGAUGGCCAGCCACACUGGAACUGAGACACGGUCCAG
This 298-nucleotide ribosomal RNA is filed under the name uncultured bacterium. RNAcentral's name for it is "partial 16S ribosomal RNA". It matches the Rfam family "Bacterial small subunit ribosomal RNA", at positions 44 to 334 of the family's 1533-position model. The record is from RNAcentral.